Molecule: ribosomal RNA, 341 nt
Filed under: uncultured soil bacterium
Lineage: Bacteria
Description: bacterial SSU rRNA
Rfam family: Bacterial small subunit ribosomal RNA
Source: RNAcentral
AGAUUGAACGCUGGCGGCAGGCCUAACACAUGCAAGUCGAGCGGUAGAGAGGUGCUUGCAUCUCUUGAGAGCGGCGGACGGGUGAGUAAUGCCUAGGAAUCUGCCUAGUGGUGGGGGAUAACGUUCGGAAACGGACGCUAAUACCGCAUACGUCCUACGGGAGAAAGCGGGGGACCUUCGGGCCUCGCGCCAUUAGAUGAGCCUAGGUCGGAUUAGCUAGUGGUGAGGUAUGCGUCACAACGGCGACGAUCCGUAACUAGGUCUGAGAGGAUGAUCAGUCACACUGGAACUGAGACACGGUCCAGACUCCUACGGGAGGACAGUACGAGGUGGGGAAAGUA